Molecule: ribosomal RNA, 253 nt
Filed under: uncultured prokaryote
Description: partial 16S ribosomal RNA
Rfam family: Bacterial small subunit ribosomal RNA
Source: RNAcentral
UACGUAGGGUGCAAGCGUUAAUCGGAAUUACUGGGCGUAAAGCGUACGCAGGCGGCUUUGCAAGACAGGUGUGAAAUCCCCGGGCCUAACCUGGGAACUGCAUUUGUGACUGCAUAGCUAGAGUCUGUCAGAGGGGGGUGGAAUUCCACGUGUAGCAGUGAAAUGCGUAGAGAUCGGGAGGAACAUCAGUUGCGAAGGCGGCCACCUGGACCAGCACUGACACUGAGGCACGAAAGCGUGGGGAGCAAACAGG